GGGGAAUAUUGGGCAAUGGGCGAAAGCCUGACCCAGCAACGCCGCGUGAAGGAAGAAGGCUUUCGGGUUGUAAACUUCUUUUGGCAGGGACGAAACAAAUGACGGUACCUGCAGAAUAAGCUCCGGCUAACUACGUGCCAGCAGCCGCGGUAAUACGUAGGGAGCAAGCGUUAUCCGGAUUUACUGGGUGUAAAGGGCGCGUAGGCGGGAAUGCAAGUCAGAUGUGAAAUCUGGGGGCUCAACCCCCAAACUGCAUUUGAAACUGUAUUUCUUGAGUGAUGGAGAGGCAAGUGGAAUUCCUAGUGUAGCGGUGAAAUGCGUAGAUAUUAGGAGGAACACCAGUGGCGAAGGCGACUUGCUGGACAUUAACUGACGCUGAGGCGCGAAAGCGUGGGGAGCAAAC
This 403-nucleotide ribosomal RNA is filed under the name uncultured bacterium. RNAcentral describes it as "bacterial SSU rRNA". It matches the Rfam family "Bacterial small subunit ribosomal RNA", at positions 356 to 773 of the family's 1533-position model. The record is from RNAcentral.